RNAcentral lists this ribosomal RNA (2195 nucleotides) under Salmonella enterica subsp. enterica serovar Typhimurium. Its description in RNAcentral is "partial 23S ribosomal RNA". It matches the Rfam family "Bacterial large subunit ribosomal RNA", at positions 711 to 2802 of the family's 2925-position model. The record is from RNAcentral. Lineage: Bacteria; Pseudomonadati; Pseudomonadota; Gammaproteobacteria; Enterobacterales; Enterobacteriaceae.
AGACCCGAAACCCGGUGAUCUAGCCAUGGGCAGGUUGAAGGUUGGGUAACACUAACUGGAGGACCGAACCGACUAAUGUUGAAAAAUUAGCGGAUGACCUGUGGCUGGGGGUGAAAGGCCAAUCAAACCGGGAGAUAGCUGGUUCUCCCCGAAAGCUAUUUAGGUAGCGCCUCGUGAAUUCAUCUCCGGGGGUAGAGCACUGUUUCGGCUAGGGGGCCAUCCCGGCUUACCAACCCGAUGCAAACUGCGAAUACCGGAGAAUGUUAUCACGGGAGACACACGGCGGGUGCUAACGUCCGUCGUGAAGAGGGAAACAACCCAGACCGCCAGCUAAGGUCCCAAAGUCAUGGUUAAGUGGGAAACGAUGUGGGAAGGCCCAGACAGCCAGGAUGUUGGCUUAGAAGCAGCCAUCAUUUAAAGAAAGCGUAAUAGCUCACUGGUCGAGUCGGCCUGCGCGGAAGAUGUAACGGGGCUAAACCAUGCACCGAAGCUGCGGCAGCGAACGUAUCACCCAAGACAACUUUACGGAGUUGACGAUUGACGGAGCGAAGCGACGUCAAAGCGUUCAUUAAAGUCGAGUUGGCUUAGGGAUACGUUCGUUGGGUAGGGGAGCGUUCUGUAAGCCUGUGAAGGUGUGUCGUGAGGCAUGCUGGAGGUAUCAGAAGUGCGAAUGCUGACAUAAGUAACGAUAAAGCGGGUGAAAAGCCCGCUCGCCGGAAGACCAAGGGUUCCUGUCCAACGUUAAUCGGGGCAGGGUGAGUCGACCCCUAAGGCGAGGCCGAAAGGCGUAGUCGAUGGGAAACGGGUUAAUAUUCCCGUACUUGGUGUUACUGCGAAGGGGGGACGGAGAAGGCUAUGUUGGCCGGGCGACGGUUGUCCCGGUUUAAGCGUGUAGGUGUGUGUUCCAGGUAAAUCCGGUUCACUUUAACACUGAGGCGUGACGACGAGGCACUACGGUGCUGAAGCAACAAAUGCCCUGCUUCCAGGAAAAGCCUCUAAGCAUCAGGUAACAUCAAAUCGUACCCCAAACCGACACAGGUGGUCAGGUAGAGAAUACCAAGGCGCUUGAGAGAACUCGGGUGAAGGAACUAGGCAAAAUGGUGCCGUAACUUCGGGAGAAGGCACGCUGACACGUAGGUGAAGUGAUUUACUCAUGGAGCUGAAGUCAGUCGAAGAUACCAGCUGGCUGCAACUGUUUAUUAAAAACACAGCACUGUGCAAACACGAAAGUGGACGUAUACGGUGUGACGCCUGCCCGGUGCCGGAAGGUUAAUUGAUGGGGUCAGCGCAAGCGAAGCUCCUGAUCGAAGCCCCGGUAAACGGCGGCCGUAACUAUAACGGUCCUAAGGUAGCGAAAUUCCUUGUCGGGUAAGUUCCGACCUGCACGAAUGGCGUAAUGAUGGCCAGGCUGUCUCCACCCGAGACUCAGUGAAAUUGAACUCGCUGUGAAGAUGCAGUGUACCCGCGGCAAGACGGAAAGACCCCGUGAACCUUUACUAUAGCUUGACACUGAACAUUGAGCCUUGAUGUGUAGGAUAGGUGGGAGGCUUUGAAGUGUGGACGCCAGUCUGCAUGGAGCCGACCUUGAAAUACCACCCUUUAAUGUUUGAUGUUCUAACGUGGACCCGUGAUCCGGGUUGCGGACAGUGUCUGGUGGGUAGUUUGACUGGGGCGGUCUCCUCCUAAAGAGUAACGGAGGAGCACGAAGGUUGGCUAAUCCUGGUCGGACAUCAGGAGGUUAGUGCAAUGGCAUAAGCCAGCUUGACUGCGAGCGUGACGGCGCGAGCAGGUGCGAAAGCAGGUCAUAGUGAUCCGGUGGUUCUGAAUGGAAGGGCCAUCGCUCAACGGAUAAAAGGUACUCCGGGGAUAACAGGCUGAUACCGCCCAAGAGUUCAUAUCGACGGCGGUGUUUGGCACCUCGAUGUCGGCUCAUCACAUCCUGGGGCUGAAGUAGGUCCCAAGGGUAUGGCUGUUCGCCAUUUAAAGUGGUACGCGAGCUGGGUUUAGAACGUCGUGAGACAGUUCGGUCCCUAUCUGCCGUGGGCGCUGGAGAACUGAGGGGGGCUGCUCCUAGUACGAGAGGACCGGAGUGGACGCAUCACUGGUGUUCGGGUUGUCAUGCCAAUGGCACUGCCCGGUAGCUAAAUGCGGAAGAGAUAAGUGCUGAAAGCAUCUAAGCACGAAACUUGCCCCGA